RNAcentral lists this ribosomal RNA (1815 nucleotides) under Escherichia coli. Its description in RNAcentral is "partial 23S ribosomal RNA". It matches the Rfam family "Bacterial large subunit ribosomal RNA", at positions 33 to 1875 of the family's 2925-position model. Lineage: Bacteria; Pseudomonadati; Pseudomonadota; Gammaproteobacteria; Enterobacterales; Enterobacteriaceae. The record is from RNAcentral.
CUGGCAGUCAGAGGCGAUGAAGGACGUGCUAAUCUGCGAUAAGCGUCGGUGAGGUGAUAUGAACCGUUAUAACCGGCGAUUUCCGAAUGGGGAAACCCAGUGUGUUUCGACACACUAUCAUUAACUGAAUCCAUAGGUUAAUGAGGCGAACCGGGGGAACUGAAACAUCUAAGUACCCCGAGGAAAAGAAAUCAACCGAGAUUCCCCCAGUAGCGGCGAGCGAACGGGGAGGAGCCCAGAGCCUGAAUCAGUGUGUGUGUUAGUGGAAGCGUCUGGAAAGGCGUGCGAUACAGGGUGACAGCCCCGUACACAAAAAUGCACAUAUUGUGAGCUCGAUGAGUAGGGCGGGACACGUGGUAUCCUGUCUGAAUAUGGGGGGACCAUCCUCCAAGGCUAAAUACUCCUGACUGACCGAUAGUGAACCAGUACCGUGAGGGAAAGGCGAAAAGAACCCCGGCGAGGGGAGUGAAAAAGAACCUGAAACCGUGUACGUACAAGCAGUGGGAGCCUCUUAAUGGGGUGACUGCGUACCUUUUGUAUAAUGGGUCAGCGACUUAUAUUCUGUAGCAAGGUUAACCGAAUAGGGGAGCCGAAGGGAAACCGAGUCUUAACUGGGCGUUAAGUUGCAGGGUAUAGACCCGAAACCCGGUGAUCUAGCCAUGGGCAGGUUGAAGGUUGGGUAACACUAACUGGAGGACCGAACCGACUAAUGUUGAAAAAUUAGCGGAUGACUUGUGGCUGGGGGUGAAAGGCCAAUCAAACCGGGAGAUAGCUGGUUCUCCCCGAAAGCUAUUUAGGUAGCGCCUCGUGAAUUCAUCUCCGGGGGUAGAGCACUGUUUCGGCAAGGGGGUCAUCCCGACUUACCAACCCGAUGCAAACUGCGAAUACCGGAGAAUGUUAUCACGGGAGACACACGGCGGGUGCUAACGUCCGUCGUGAAGAGGGAAACAACCCAGACCGCCAGCUAAGGUCCCAAAGUCAUGGUUAAGUGGGAAACGAUGUGGGAAGGCCCAGACAGCCAGGAUGUUGGCUUAGAAGCAGCCAUCAUUUAAAGAAAGCGUAAUAGCUCACUGGUCGAGUCGGCCUGCGCGGAAGAUGUAACGGGGCUAAACCAUGCACCGAAGCUGCGGCAGCGACACUAUGUGUUGUUGGGUAGGGGAGCGUUCUGUAAGCCUGUGAAGGUGGCCUGUGAGGGUUGCUGGAGGUAUCAGAAGUGCGAAUGCUGACAUAAGUAACGAUAAAGCGGGUGAAAAGCCCGCUCGCCGGAAGACCAAGGGUUCCUGUCCAACGUUAAUCGGGGCAGGGUGAGUCGACCCCUAAGGCGAGGCCGAAAGGCGUAGUCGAUGGGAAACAGGUUAAUAUUCCUGUACUUGGUGUUACUGCGAAGGGGGGACGGAGAAGGCUAUGUUGGCCGGGCGACGGUUGUCCCGGUUUAAGCGUGUAGGCUGGUUUUCCAGGCAAAUCCGGAAAACCAAGGCUGAGGCGUGAUGACGAGGCACUACGGUGCUGAAGCGACAAAUGCCCUGCUUCCAGGAAAAGCCUCUAAGCAUCAGGUAACAUCAAAUCGUACCCCAAACCGACACAGGUGGUCAGGUAGAGAAUACCAAGGCGCUUGAGAGAACUCGGGUGAAGGAACUAGGCAAAAUGGUGCCGUAACUUCGGGAGAAGGCACGCUGAUAUGUAGGUGAAGCGACUUGCUCGUGGAGCUGAAAUCAGUCGAAGAUACCAGCUGGCUGCAACUGUUUAUUAAAAACACAGCACUGUGCAAACACGAAAGUGGACGUAUACGGUGUGACGCCUGCCCGGUGCCGGAAG